UACAGAGGGUGCAAGCGUUAAUCGGAUUUACUGGGCGUAAAGCGCACGUAGGCUGUUACUUAAGUCAGAUGUGAAAUCCCCGGGCUUAACCUGAGAAUUGCAUUUGAUACUGGGUAGCUAGAGGUUGAUAGAGGAAAGUGGAAUUUUCGGUGUAGCGGUGAAAUGCGUAGAUAUCGGAAGGAACAUCAGUGGCGAAGGCGACUUUCUGGAUCAAUUCUGACGCUGAGGUGCGAAAGCGUGGGGAGCAAACAGG
This 253-nucleotide ribosomal RNA is filed under the name uncultured bacterium. RNAcentral's name for it is "partial 16S ribosomal RNA". It matches the Rfam family "Bacterial small subunit ribosomal RNA", at positions 524 to 776 of the family's 1533-position model. The record is from RNAcentral.